RNAcentral lists this ribosomal RNA (372 nucleotides) under Triticum aestivum (bread wheat). RNAcentral's name for it is "partial small subunit ribosomal RNA". The record is from RNAcentral. Lineage: Eukaryota; Viridiplantae; Streptophyta; Magnoliopsida; Poales; Poaceae.
AUGUUCAAAAAGUCCUCUCACGUCACUUUUGGGCCAAGAAACAUAGAGUCCAAGUCUCUCACGUUCUGGAUUCAGAUUUGGACUUCACAAACACAUCUGAUUCAAAACACCAAGAACUCUUUCAUACGAACUCCAAAUUGGGUGAUUCUCUUUUUGUUGGAAAGUAGAUUUCAUGCUCUUUCCAACCCAAUGGGAAUCACUUUAAAAUCUGUCUGGAGCGUUGAGUUAUGGACGAAACAAUUUGAUGCUGCAGCAGAAUCCGAGUCAAACUACAAGUCCAAAGGUGUUACGUCACCUCCACUUGGUCCCAUUGGCCUUGUACGACCUAGGGUUAGUUUUAGGCUGCCUUGGGACGUCCUCCCACCUCCUUGA